Molecule: ribosomal RNA, 925 nt
Filed under: Stereocaulon tomentosum
Lineage: Eukaryota; Fungi; Ascomycota; Lecanoromycetes; Lecanorales; Stereocaulaceae
Description: LSU rRNA
Rfam family: Eukaryotic large subunit ribosomal RNA
Source: RNAcentral
GAUUGACCUCGGAUCAGGUAGGGAUACCCGCUGAACUUAAGCAUAUCAAUAAGCGGAGGAAAAGAAACCAACAGGGAUUGCCUCAGUAACGGCGAGUGAAGCGGCAACAGCUCAAAUUUGAAAUCUGGUCCUUUCAGGCCCCGAGUUGUAAUUUGUAGAGGAUGUUUCGGGCGCGGCGCGGGUCUAAGUCCUUUGGAACAGGGCGUCAGAGAGGGUGAGAAUCCCGUAUGCGACCCGUGGCCAACCCCAUCUGAAACCCCUUCGACGAGUCGAGUUGUUUGGGAAUGCAGCUCAAAAUGGGUGGUAAAUUUCAUCUAAAGCUAAAUACCGGCCAGAGACCGAUAGCGCACAAGUAGAGUGAUCGAAAGAUGAAAAGCACUUUGGAAAGAGAGUCAAACAGUACGUGAAAUUGUUGAAAGGGAAGCGCUUGCGACCAGACCUGCCCGCGGGCGAUCAACCCCCGUUCUCGGGGGUGCACUCGCCCGCGAUCAGGCCAGCAUCGGUUCGGGCGGUCGGAUAAAGGCCUUGGGAAUGUAGCUUCCUCCGGGGAGUCUUAUAGCCCUCGGUGCAAUGCGGCCAGCCCGGACCGAGGACCGCGCUUCGGCUAGGAUGCUGGCGUAAUGGUCGUAAGCGACCCGUCUUGAAACACGGACCAAGGAGUCUAACAUCUAUGCAAGUGUUUGGGUGUGAAACCCAUGCGCGGAAUGAAAGUGAACGGAGGUGAGAACCCUCAAGGGCGCAUCAUCGACCGAUCCAGAUGUCUUCGGAUGGAUUUGAGUACGAGCAUAGCUGUUGGGACCCGAAAGAUGGUGAACUAUGCCUGAAUAGGGUGAAGCCAGAGGAAACUCUGGUGGAGGCUCGCAGCGGUUCUGACGUGCAAAUCGAUCGUCAAAUUUGGGUAUAGGGGCGAAAGACUAAUCGAACC